RNAcentral lists this ribosomal RNA (792 nucleotides) under uncultured Methanocellales archaeon. RNAcentral's name for it is "bacterial SSU rRNA". It matches the Rfam family "Archaeal small subunit ribosomal RNA", at positions 86 to 879 of the family's 1478-position model. Lineage: Archaea; Methanobacteriati; Methanobacteriota; Methanomicrobia; Methanocellales. The record is from RNAcentral.
CKGCUCAGUAACACGUGGACAACCUACCCUAUGGAGGGGGAUAACCCCGGGAAACUGGGGAUAAUACCCCAUAGACUAUAGAUGCUGGAAUGCUUUGUAGUUGAAAGGUCCGCCGCCAUAGGAUGGGUCUGCGGCCGAUUAGGUUGUUGUUGGGGUAACGGCCCAACAAGCCUGUAAUCGGUACGGGUUGUGGGAGCAAGAGCCCGGAGAUGGAUCCUGAGACACGAAUCCAGGCCCUACGGGGCGCAGCAGGCGCGAAAACUCUACAAUGCAGGCAACUGCGAUAGGGGAACAUCGAGUGAUCCUCAUAUUGGGGGUCUGUCCUUCCGUCUAAAAAACGGGAGUUAGCAAGGGCCGGGCAAGACCGGUGCCAGCCGCCGCGGUAAUACCGGCGGCUCGAGUGGUGGCCGAUAUUAUUGAGUCUAAAGGGUCCGUAGCCGGCUUUGCAAGUCUCUCGGGAAAUCCAGCGGCUUAACCGUUGGUCGUCCGGGGGGUACUACAUUGCUUGGGACUGGGAGAGGUAGGAGGUACUCAGGGGGUAGGAGUGAAAUCCUGUAAUCCUUUGGGGACCACCGGUGGCGAAGGCGUCCUACCAGAACAGGUCCGACGGUGAGGGACGAAAGCUAGGGGCACGAACCGGAUUAGAUACCCGGGUAGUCCUAGCCGUAAACGAUGCUCGCUAGGUGUCACAACAGUCGUGAAUUGUUGUGGUGCCGUAGGGAAGCCGUGAGGCGAGCCACUUGGGAAGUACGACCGCAAGGUUGAAACUUAAAGGAAUUGGCGGGGGAGCAC